GAUGAACGCUAGCGACAGGCUUAACACAUGCAAGUCGAGGGGCAGCGGGGGAGUAGCAAUACUCCCGCCGGCGACCGGCGCACGGGUGAGUAACACGUAUGCAACCUGCCCCUGUCAGGGGGACAACCCGCCGAAAGGCGGGCUAAACCCGCGUACAUGCCACCGGGGCAUCCCGGAGGCAGGAAAGGCUUCGGCCGGACAGGGAUGGGCAUGCGGCGCAUUAGGCAGUAGGCGGGGUAACGGCCCACCUAACCGACGAUGCGUAGGGGUUCUGAGAGGAAGGUCCCCCACACUGGUACUGAGACACGGACCAG
This 314-nucleotide ribosomal RNA is filed under the name uncultured bacterium. Its description in RNAcentral is "bacterial SSU rRNA". It matches the Rfam family "Bacterial small subunit ribosomal RNA", at positions 28 to 334 of the family's 1533-position model. The record is from RNAcentral.